RNAcentral lists this ribosomal RNA (465 nucleotides) under uncultured bacterium. Its description in RNAcentral is "bacterial SSU rRNA". It matches the Rfam family "Bacterial small subunit ribosomal RNA", at positions 338 to 795 of the family's 1533-position model. The record is from RNAcentral.
CCUACGGGCGGCACCAGGGGGGAAUAUUGCACAAUGGGCGCAAGCCUGAUGCAGCCAUGCCGCGUGUAUGAAGAAGGCCUUCGGGUUGUAAAGUACUUUCAGCGAGGAGGAAGGCAUUAAGGUUAAUAACCUUAGUGAUUGACGUUACUCGCAGAAGAAGCACCGGCUAACUCCGUGCCAGCAGCCGCGGUAAUACGGAGGGUGCAAGCGUUAAUCGGAAUUACUGGGCGUAAAGCGCACGCAGGCGGUUGAUUAAGUUAGAUGUGAAAUCCCCGGGCUUAACCUGGGAAUGGCAUCUAAGACUGGUCAGCUAGAGUCUUGUAGAGGGGGGUAGAAUUCCAUGUGUAGCGGUGAAAUGCGUAGAGAUGUGGAGGAAUACCGGUGGCGAAGGCGGCCCCCUGGACAAAGACUGAAGCUCAGGUGCGAAAGCGUGGGGAGCAAACAGGAUUAGAUACCAUCGUAGUC